Molecule: long non-coding RNA, 9710 nt
Organism: Antechinus flavipes (yellow-footed antechinus)
Lineage: Eukaryota; Metazoa; Chordata; Mammalia; Dasyuromorphia; Dasyuridae
Exons: 2
Source: RefSeq, a predicted model, not a curated record
AGAAGGUGAGAGUUUGUUAUGGGCCAGAACUCUGAACUUGAAAUAAAGGAUUCUUACAAGGUACUAAAAGUCAGUGGAAUUGCUAGAGACUAAUUUAUCUAAUUUACAUGGUUCAGUAUGAUUGAUUUAAUUCUACAAGGAGAUGUUAUGGGCCAGAACUUGAAACAAGGUACUUAGUGGAAUUACUAAGUGGAAUUGAAGAGACAAUGGUUAAAUCUAGUUUAGCGUUGAUUUAAUCCUAUAACAAAUAAUGGUUUCCCAGUGAUAUAAUGAUUGGUAUAUACUCAGUGUGGAGAAUAUAAGCUAGAAGCUAUCAGGGCCAGAAAAAAACAGGCACAUUAGAAGCUCUCGGAGGCCCAGACAGAUUCAUUCCAUUAUCCACCUUUGUGGUGGCUAGAGGCUGAAGCACAAACCUUUGGAUUAGGAGAGACAUCUGGAAAGAAGGCAAAGUACUGGCAGCAGGAGCUUAAGCUCUCAGAACUAAGGGGAGAAAUUCAAUUCGAUCUUCAAUCUUCCUGGUGGCUGGCCUGGACUCCUGCACUUCCCCCACUAAGAACAAGGCCAGAUUGAAAGGUUCUCCAGAAAGCUGUCAAGCCUCAGGAAGAAUAAUAAAGGAUCUGGAUUAUAAGAAAGCUAACCAGGCCCCAAGAAAGGAGACAACACUUUGAAAGAGAUAAUAAAUGACUUGGACUUUAACACCUGGCUGCACUUGUGGUGAUUAUGGAACUGAAAUGAAGGCUGCUCCCAGAGACCCCAAGGAAACAGAAACAGAGAACUUUACAAGAGUGUCAUUGUUUUAAUCUAAUCAGUCCAUUAAUAAACAUUUAUCAAGUACUAAUCAUGUGCUGGACUUUGUGUCAGAUAUUAGGAAGAUACACAAAAUACACAAAAUGGAACAAUUUGAAGGUAUUUAUAUUCUAGCACAGGAAACAAUAUGUGCAUAUGUAAGUAUAUACAAUACCCAAGUAGAAACAUUACAAAUAGAGUAUCAUGUUCGUGUCAGAAUGUUAUAAAAUAAGAACACUGAUACCCUAGAAAGCAUCCAAAGGAUAGUUAGGGGUCAUAUGAGGAUUGGUUGAAGAAAAAGAGAUUGUUUAGCUUAGAAAAAAGAAGACUGGCAAGGAUAGAAUCAUUCAUCUAAGUCAAAACUAUUAAAAGAUUUGGGGACAAUUCAUCAUUUUAUUUUAAGACAUUUUCUUUAUUCCAGCUUAAAACAAAAACCAAAAAAAUCUCUGCAAGUUUCAAACUCUGUUGACAAAUUAUUCUAACUUCUAGAGAAAUCUGGAAUUUUCUAUAAAUUCAACAUAAGAAAAAGACCAAUAUAAAUUAUUAGGUUGUACAAAAAAAUUCUUUAAGAUAGGAGAAAAAAAUUAUGAAAAAUCCAGAUAAAGAAAUAUAGAAAUAUUGAGUGACCAUUCCUGAAAUGUUUAAGCAUAAGUCAGAGACAAUAUUAAAUGGUGUAAUAUGAAUAAUUCUCUAUUUAGUUUUGAUAGCUGAUUGGGUUAUUAGUUGUACGUGCAACAUAUUUAUAUAAAUAUGUGUAUUUUUAUUAUUACUGUCUUCCUAAAUUUUACAAAAAGAAGUAACAUUGCAGGUUGGGGUAUCUGCUUUUUAAAGCCAUUCAAUGUUUUGUACGAAGAAGUGUUUUAUUGUAUUGAAUUUUGAACUUGUAAAGUGGGUACUGAUUUUAUGGUUUAAUUUCAAGUAUUCAGGUUGUUUUUUUCUCAGUAAAUGGUUCACACAAUACAAUAUACUUAGCAAUGAACUUUUAAAAAAAGUGAUGACAAAUGGGAGAAGAAGUAAGAAAAGGUCAUUGGGCUGGUGGAUGUCUUGAUAGUGUCUUCAUAUUUCUGAAGAACAAUAUCUAAAAGAGAGUGCAGACUGCUUCAAUUUGCUUCUAAAGGUAGAGCUAUAAAGGAGGAAAAGGAAGUUGCAAAGAGACAAAUGUACACAAUAUAUCAAUAAGAACUACCCAAAAUAGAAAGAGGUUGCUUUAUCAAGUAGUGAAUUCCUCUUUACCAGAAGUCAAAACGUAAAAACCAACUCUUUGUUGAGUAUGGAUUGGACCAUAUGGCUGAAGAGGUCCCUUCCAAACUUGAAAUUCUCUGGUUCUGUAUAUUACAGGUGCUAUUUUUGUCCUUAAUUGCAGGAAUGAAUAUAAAACUUGUUUACCCUAAAUUAUUUUUGCUAAAUUUUAUCUUGAAAUCUGAUGCCUCAAAAGAUUAAAAAAAAAAAAAAACAGAAGUAAAAGUACAAAUGCACAUAUUCAGUAAUAUUCUAUAUUUAAUUAUGUUCCCACAUUUAAAACAAGUAGUUAUAUUAGUUGAGACAGUGUAGAAUUGUCAAUGCUGAUAAGCCUUUUUUUUUUUUUUAUCUUUCUUCUUCUUUCUUUCUUUCUUUCUUUAUUUUGAAAUUAAAAAAAAAAAACUUUUAUUGACAGAGCCCCAUGCCUGGUAAUUUUUUUUUUUUUACAACAUUAUCCCUUGCACUCACUUUUGUUCUGACUUUUCCCCUCCCUCCCUUCACCCCCUUCCCCAGAUGGCAAGCAGUCCUAUACAAGUUAAAUAUGUCACAGUGUAUCCUAGAUACAAUAUAUGUGUACAGAACUGAAUAGUUCUCUUGUUGCACAGGAAAAAUUAGAUUCAGAAGAUAACCUGGGAAGAAAGACAAAAAUGCAAGCAGUUUACAUUCAUUUCCCAGUGUUCUUUCUUUGGGUGUAGCUGCUUCUGUCCAUCCUUGAUCAACUGAAAUUGAGUUAGAUCUUCUUUUUGUCAAAGAAAUCCACUUCCAUCAGAAUACAUCCUAAUAUAGUAUCGUUGUUGAGGUAUAUAAUGAUCUCCUGGUUCUGCUCAUUUCACUUAGCAUCAGUUCAUGUAAGUCUCGCCAAUGCUCUCUGUAUUCAUCCUGCUAGUCAUUUCUUACAGAACAAUAAUAUUCCAUAACGUUCAUAUAGCACAAUUUACUCAACCAUUCUCCAAUUGAUGGGCAUCCAUUCAUUUUCCAGCUUCUAGCCACUACAAACAGGGCUGCCACAAACAUUUUGGCACAUACAGGUCCCUUUCCCUUCUUUAGUAUCUCUUUGGGGUAUAAGCCUAAGAUAUAUUUCUAUACCCAACUGAGUGUGUAUAUAAUUUCCUCUUUGAGCCAAUUCUGAUGAGAUUAAAGUUCAUUCACUCUUCUCCACUGUGAAGGCUUUUUCUUGACCCAUUUUGACAGAUAAUUUACAUUAUUUCCAUGUCCCCCUUUUCUCUUCUCCCAGUAUAUUACAAUCUCCUUAAUUCUAUUUUUGAAAGAUAUUAUCCCUUCAUGUUCAACUCACACCUGUGUCCUCUGUCUAUAUAUUACUUUUUCUAACUACCCUAAUAAUGAAAAAGUUCUUAUGAAUUACAAAUAUCAUCUUUCUAUAUAGGAACGCAAACAUUUUAACUUAUUAAAUCUUUUAUGAUUUCUCUUUCCUGAUAACCUCCUUAUGCGUCUCUUUUUUGAAAGUAAAAUUUACUAUUUUUCAUUUUUUGCUGCUUGAAAAUCCUCUAAGAUCCAUCUUUUCCCCUGAGGGAUUACACUCAGUUUUUCUGGGUCACUGAAUUUUGGUUGUAAUUAUAGCUCCCUUGCUCUUUGGAAUAUCAUAUUCUAAGCCCUUCAAUUCUUUAAUGCAUUAGCUGCUAAAUUUUGUGUUAUACUGACUGUGGCUCCAUCGUACUUAAAUUGCUUCUUUCUGGAUGCUUGUGAUAUUUUCUCCUUGACCUGGGAGAAUCCUGAAUUCCUGGGAAUUUUUACUUUGGGAUCUCCUUUUAGGAAGAUAUAAGCAGAUUCUUUCAAUUUCUAUUUUAAUCUUUGCUUCUAAAAUAUCAGGACACUUUUCCUUAACAAUUUCUUUAAAGAUGAUGUUUAGGCUCCUUUUUUUGAUCAUGGCUUAUAUAGAAUAAUUAUCUCUCUUGGAGCUAUUUUACCAGUCAGAUGUUUUUCCAUUGAGAUAUUUCACAUUGUUUUCCAUUCGUUCUUUUCAAUCUUUUGGUUUUACUUAAUUGUUUCUUAAUUUCUCAUAAAGUCAAUAGUUCCAUUUGUUCAAUUCUAAUUUUUAAUAAAUUAUGUUCCCCCUGAUUGGAUACCUACCUGUUGGGGAAUGGCUAAAUAAGCUAUGACACAUGAGUGUUAUGGAAUAUUAUUAUUCUAUAAGAAAUGAUUAACAGAAUGAUUUCAGAGGGGCCUGUAGAGACUUACACUAACUGACACUAAGUGAAGUGAGCAGAAUCAGGAGAUCAUUAUACAUAGCAACAAGACUAUGUAAUAAUCAACUGUGAUGGACUUGGCUCUUUUCAACAAUGAGAUAAUUCAGACCAAUUCCAACAGACUUGUGAUGGAGAAAACCAUCUAAAUCCAGAAAGAAGAUUGUGGGGACUGAAGGUGGAUCAUAACAGUAUUUUCAUCUUUGUUGUUUGCUUUUUUUUCUUUCUCAUUUUUUCCCUUUUUGAUCUCUUUUCUCUUGUGCAGCAUGAUAAAUAUUGAAAUAUAUUGAGAACUGUAAAUGUUUAACCUCUAUUAUUUGCUAUCUAUGGGAGGAAGGUAAAAAGGAAAAAAUUAAUUUUUAUUUACUUUCUCCUUAAAAAAAAUUAUUUUUCCCACUGAGUUUUUGUACCUCCUUUUCAAUUUUGCUUUGUAAGACAUUCUUCUCCUUAUUGGCUUUUUGUACUUCCUUUUACAUCACUAUCAUUUCUUUCUCCAAUUUUUUUUCUACUUAUAUUACUUGAUUUUCAAAUUCCUUCUGAGCUCUUUCACGGUCUGAGAUCAAUUUUUAUUUUUCUUGGAGGCUUUGGAAGUAUAAACUUUGACUUUAUCAUCUUCUUCUGAGUAUGUGUUUUAUUUUCUUUGUCACCACAGUAACUUUCUAUGGUCAGAAUAUUUUUCUGUUGUUUAUUCAUUUCCCCAGCUUAUUACUUUUCUCUUCUCUAGGAAUAGUUUGAUGGGCACUCUCGAUUUGGGAAGAACAGAUUUCAGAGGAAGGUUAGGUAGGUAGGAGCCCAAAUGGAUCAAAAUUCUAGAGAGAAAAUCAGAUUAUGAGGAAUGGAAAGCUUUUGAAAAAGAAAUUCUGAAGAAACAAAACAAUUCUUAUGAUGAUCUACUAAAAGAAAAAAAGGAAAAUUUUCUAAAGAGACUAAUCUAAAUAUAUAGGGAAUAAAAAAAUUGAUUUUAAAAUCUGAAAGCAAAGAUAGGUUGAAAGCAAUAAAUAAAAAGAUCAGACAUGAUCUUGUAAGAACUGUGUUAGCUGGAUAGAGCACCAGCCCUGAAAUCAGGCCUCAGACACUUAACACUUCCUAGUUGUGUGAUCCUGGACAAGUCACUUAACCCAAUUACUUCAGGGAAAGUAAAAAAAAAAAAAAACCAGUGUUAGUACUGGGCUCCCAAUGAACUAAAUGAGGAAAAUCAAAGACAAGAAAAAUUAUUUUCUCAGCUAUACUGGAGAAAGAAGAAAAUCAGGAUGGGCCCUUGUUUAGGGUGAAUAAAGACUGCCCUAAAAAUAACAGAAUACAGUUUCUUUGCCAAAGAGAAUGUCCUUUGGAAUAGAAAGAACAGAAAAAAUGUGGUCAAAAGAAAUGUGAUACCUAAAGUAAAAUAAGGAGACAGUAGAAGAGUAUUCAGCUACCAUUGAUGAGUUCAGGUCACCUGGCCCAAAUGACUGAAUCUGAAAGAACUAAAAGAAUUGGGAAUUCUUAUUGAUGAACUUAUUCAUCUGAUCUUUCAAGGAUCACAGGGAAGACAAAAAAUAACUGUAGAACUAGAGAGGGCAAAUAUCCUGCCUUUUAAAAAAGGGGAAAGGGAAGAGGAUAAUGAAGCUGCAAACUUUAGGCCAGUUAUCCUGACUUUUUUUUUUAGCCAAAUUCUAGAAAAUAGUAUUAAAAGAAGAUUUUUUUUUAAAAUUUUUUAUUUAAUAAUUACAUUAUAUUGACACUCGUUUCUGUUCCGAUUUUUUUUUCCCCUCCCUCCCUCCACCCCCUCCCCUAGAUGGCAAGCAGUCCUUUAUAUGUUGGAUAUGUUGCAGUAUAUCCUAGAUACAAUAUAUGUUUGCAGAACCGAACAGUUCUCUUGUUGCGUAGGGAGAAUUGGAUUCAGAAGGUAUAAAUAAUCCGGGAAGAAAAACAAAAAUGCAGAUAGUUUACAUUCGUUUCCCAGUGUUCUUUCUUUGGGUGUAGCUGCUUUUGUCCGUCAUUUAUCAAUUGAAACUCAGGUCUCUUUGUCAAAGAAAUCCACUUCCAUCAAAAUAUGUCCUCAUACAAUAUCGUUGUCGAAGUGUAUAAUGAUCUCCUGGUUCUGCUCAUUUCACUUAGCAUCAGUUCAUGUAAGUCUCGCCAGUCCUCUCUGUAUUCAUCCUGCUGGUCAUUUCUUACAGAACAAUAAUAUUCCAUAACAUUCAUAUACCACAAUUUACCCAGCCAUUCUCCAAUUGAUGGGCAUCCAUUCAUUUUCCAGUUUCUAGCCACUACAAACAGGGCUGCUACAAACAUUUUGCACAUACAGGUCCCUUUCCCUUCUUUAGUAUUUCUUUGGGAUAUAAGCCCAAUAGAAACACUGCUGGAUCAAAGGGUAUGCACAAUUUGAUAAUUUUUUGGGCAUAAUUCCAGAUUGCUCUCCAGAAUGGUUGGAUUCGUUCACAACUCCACCAACAAUGCAUUAGUGUCCCAGUUUUCCCGCAUCCCCUCCAACAUUCAUCAUUAUUUUUUCCUGUCAUCUUAGCCAAUCUGACAGGUGUGUAGUGGUAUCUCAGAGUUGUCUUAAUUUGCAUUUCUCUGAUCAAUAAUGAUUUGGAACACUCUUUCAUAUGAGUGGUAAUAGUUUCAAUCUCAUCCUCUGAAAAUUGUCUGUUCAUAUCCUUUGACCAUUUAUCAAUUGGAGAAUGGCUUGAUUUCUUAUAAAUUUGAGUCAGUUCUCUAUAUAUUUUGGAAAUGAGGCCUUUAUCAGAACCUUUAACUGUGAAAAUGUUUUCCCAGUUUGUUGCUUCCCUUCUAAUCUUGUUUGCAUUAGUUUUAUUUGUACAAAGGCUUUUUAAUUUGAUGUAAUCGGAAUUUUCUAUUCUGUGAUCAGUAAUGGUCUCUAGUUCAUCUUUGGUCACAAAUUUCUUUCUCCUCCACAAGUCUGAGAGAUAAACUAUUCUAUGUUCCUCUAAUUUAUUUAUAAUCUCGUUCUUUAUGCCUAGGUCAUAGACCCAUUUUGAUCUUAUCUUGGUAUAUGGUGUUAAGUGUGGGUCCAUGCCUAAUUUCUGCCAUACUAAUUUCCAAUUAUCCCAGCAGUUUAAAAGAAGAUUUUUAAAAAGGUAAGUGAUCUCAGAAAGUCAUUAUGGUUUCACCAAGAACACAUUAUGCCAGACACUAUUCAGAUGUAUCAAAUUUAACUAACCUAUGCAUGCAAGUAUUAAAACUAAAUAACCAAAACUAUUCCUCCAAAGGGAAAAUGGUAAUGUGACAGAGAUAAUAGGUUAAAAUAAAAGUUGAAAUAUCAUCGGUAAAGGCAUAUUAUCUAUGUGUUCUAUCCAAAUUUAAAUUUUGUAGUUGUUUAUUAAAAUUUUUGUCUUCUAUAGCUUGAAUUGAAAUGACAAUUAUCAAUGAAAUUGAUUGUAUCCAAAGUGAAUUUUUUCACAGUGACAUUAAAGUUUCCUUCUUCCAAGAAGCAUUUCCUUAGAAUUCCAAUAGUGCAGUAUCCAUAAGAAUUGAUGUCACUGGUUUCCUUCACUUAUAGUUAACACUGUCUAGGAAACAGGGGGAAGUAAUUUAAAAGUGUAAAAGCAUCAAAAGAUGAUUAGGAUUUCAUUUUCUACCUUUGGGGAAUAAAAGCAGAAUUGGGAAUAUUGAAAACUUCAUAAAAGUUAGAUGUUAAAUAUCUUCUUUAAACUCUAAUCAGUAGAAAUUCCUUAGCUAUAAAAACUUUAGUCUGGGUAAGGCUAGAGCUAAAGUUUCAAUAUAUUCUGAAGAUUAUCUUUCAGAUAGGUGUUUAAUGUGCCCAUUAUCUUUGUUAGUAUUGGUAGAUAUGUUUUCAAGAAAGUCAAUUUAAUUGUGGUAAAGUCAUUCAUAACGUGACAAUUAAGGCAAAAUCACCUUUUGUAGAAGCACAUAGGUAUAUGACAUGGAAACAGAUUAGUAGAACUUAUUUUAUUACUAUUGUGAUAUUAAUACCACUCAAAACUCUUUUUCUUUUCUUUUCUUUUUUUUUUUUUUUGGUGUGUGUGUGUGUGUGUGUGUGUGGCAAUUGGGAUUAAGUGACUUUUUCAGGAUCACACACCUAGUAAAUAUUAAGUAUCUGAGGCUGAAAUUGAAUUCAGAUCCUCUUGACUCUGGGGCCAGUGCUCUAUCCACUGCACCAGCUCGUUGCCCCUACUCAAAAUAGUUUCAAAGAUAAUGUGAACAACUUACCAAUUACAUGUUGUGAUGUCAUUAACAUAUUUAGCAACAUAUGUUGUCAACAUGUUGUCAUAUGCAAUAACCUAUAUACAAGAUUGGCCUAAAACAUUCACUGUUUAAAAGAGAAAUAAGAGCGUCAGUUUUUUCAUCUGUUUUAAUAAGAAAUGAACUAGAAAAUUUCUCAAGUCCUUUUGAGUUUUAAAUACUAUAGACUUUAGGAGGAAACUAAUUGCCAGACAUUCUUUUUUUAUUUGGCCAUAUAUAGAAAACAUUUGUUUUAUUUAAAGAAAUCUGCUAAUUUAUGGGUAAGGCUUUCUUCUAAAUUUUUUUGCCCCUUCCCCCUUAUUCGAGCUCCUAGGCUACUGGAGAUAUAAAUUUGAACUUAUUUCACUUACUUCCUAUUUUUUGGUGAUUAAAAUUUUGCUAAGCCCUUACUGACUCUAAAGAGUACCUCUUUACCACUACACACCUUUCAGAUUGGCUAAGGUGACAGGAAAAAAUAAUGAUAAAUGUUGAAGGGGAUGUAGGAAAACUGGGACACUAAUAUGUUGUUGGAAUUGUGAACUUAUCCAAUCAUUCUCAAGAGCAAUUUGGAACUAUGCCCAAUAGACUAUCAAACCACACAUAUUCUUUGAUCCAGCAGUGACUCUACUGGGCCGAUAUCCCAAAGAGAUCAUAAAACAGGGAAAAAGACCCACAUAUGCAAAAAUGUUUGUGGCAGCCCUCUUUGUAGUGGCAACAAACUGGAAAUUGAGUGGAUGCCCAUCAACUGGACAAUGGCUGAAUAAGUUAUGAUAUAUGAAUGUUAUGGAAUAUUAUUGUUCUAUAAGAAGCAAUCAAUAGGAUGAUUUCCAAAAGACAUGGAGAGACUUAUAGUUAAGUGAAGUGAGUAGAACCAAGAGAACAUUGUACACAGCAACAACAAGAUUAUAUGAUCAAUUCUGACGGAUGUGGCUCUUUUCAACAAUGAGAUGAUUCAGGCCAAUUCCAAUAGGCUUGUGAUGGAGAGAGCUAUCUGCAUCCAGAAAGAGGCUGUGGGAACUGAAUAUGGACCACACCAUAGUAUUUUCACCUUUUUUUGUUGUUUACUUGCUUUUUGUUUUCUCAUUUUUUUUUACUUUUUGAUCUGAUUUUUCUUGUGUAGAAUAAUAAAUGUGGAAACAUGUAUAGAAGAAUUGCAAAUAUUUAACAUAUAUUGGAUUAUCUGCUGUCUAAGGGAGGGGGUACAGAAAGGUAGGAAGAAAAAUUUGGAACACAAGGUCAUGCAAGAUUAAAUGCUGAAAACUAUCUUUGCAUAUAUUUUGAAAAUAAAAGCUUUUUUUU